This 5809-nucleotide long non-coding RNA is filed under the name Octopus vulgaris (common octopus). The record is from RNAcentral. Lineage: Eukaryota; Metazoa; Mollusca; Cephalopoda; Octopoda; Octopodidae.
CUUCGGAAAAAUUUUCUGCAGAAAUUUCUUUAUAAUCGUAAUUUGUGUCAUUUGAACGGUAUUUUUAUAAAAUUUCAUCAAUAUGUAUCUGUAGCGAAUCCUGCAAGCAUGAAGUGGAUUCGAUCCACCGUAGCCAAAUUUAAAUCAACACUGCCACAGAACUUUUCCCACGAUGGAACAAUGGUUUUUCUCUGACAGCAGUUAUUACAUUUUCCAGAUGCCUUUAGCUAGGCCAAAAUAAUGUCUUCACCACUUGACCCUUUCUAACCUCUUCUACUUCACCAAAAGCUCGAAUAGAUAACGAGACCACAAACUAAAUCUAUUGUCCUCAAUGAUAUAUCUAUCCUUCUGGAUCUUUAUAUAAGCAAGCACAUCCCAAGCAAAAAUCACUUAGUCACCAGCCAAUGAUGACUCAACGAGGUGUGGCUGACCAACCUUGGUCAGAGGGAGAAAGCAACUGUGAGACAAAACCAUACAACUCUCUCUAGCUCUAAUUCUGUUCUCCUACAACAACAUUUUAUCUCUCUCUAAUUACUACGAACUAUAAGUAUACUGCAGCAAACUAUGUAAUGAAACAUUCUACCGCAUCUAACUUUCGCAUGCUUUUGGAUUUAUCAACUUGCUCGUCGAGGCAAGGUAUUAUAACGUAACGGUAAAUAAACAUAUUUCUUUAAACUUCAAUCAUUGUUCAUUUUUACACAUAUUACAACUUGUCGUUUUAACACCAAAUUAUUAUCGUCACACUUGCUGACUCCAACAUUUCUUCAUAAUAUUGUAUUCCAAAUCAAAUAUCUACCGUUACAACUAUUGCUCCGUUACAUAUCUAUUUUCCUGAAAGUUAUGAUGGGAAAAUCAGAUCUUGUGAAUUUUCCGAAAAUCCUCUCCCCAACCACCCACUCCGCUUUCGUUCGUUUGCGCAAUUUUUUUUCAUAUUAAUUUUCUACACAUUUUUUUUACAUCUAAGUAGAAUAGGUUUUUUUUCUUUCGUUAACUGGUCUCAAACUGUAUAUUGAACGAAAGUAAAAUUUUAUAACCUCACCCCCACACUUUUUACCAAAAGGGAGAAAAAAACCACGAUUUUUCACGUGGAAUCAACUCCCCUGAACUACUUUCCUGCAAAUCCCCUAUUUUGAUGAUUCAGAAAAAGGUGGGGGCGACACCUCUGCAGCCUGGAUAUUUUGGAAAAUAUUUUUUAUUUUUGGUGAUAAGUGUCGGGGUGAGGUAAAAAUUUACCAUUUCCUCAUCACCACAGGUUGAUUCCAUGUGAAAAACCUUGUAUUUUGGUGGAAAGCUUUGUGGUGAGGUGGUAAAAAUUUACCAGAGAGGUAUCUUGUUUUAUUCCUCAUCCUUUAAAUCUUAAGGUCUUGCAAACUUUAAUAGUCCCAGAUAUUGUGAUCAUUUGUAGUGCAUGAAUUAAGGAUUUGUGUUCUCUCUCCAAGAACCCAAGUUCAGUCAUACUUAACUCCAGACUGGUUGGUGUGUAUCCUGUUACUCCAAUAAUAAUAGGUAUAUGAAGCUGAAAGUGUAUCAUGGGUACUGAAUUUGCAAACUCUUUAUCAGUGGUCCACAGAGGUUCUCUUUUAUAUUUUACUAACCACAUUGGUGUCCAGCUAAUUUCCACAAUGGAACAUAUCUCUUCCAUGUGGUUCCACACCACAAUAUCUUGCAAUUUGUGGUUUAACUUAGUGGCUGUUUUAAUUUUUUUAAGUUCCACCAAUAUUCUUCUGACCCAUCAGUCUCAAUAUAGUCAACUUUGUCUGUUUUGUUUUUUAUCUUCUUCCAGACUGUUCUGGCCACCUCCUCAUGCAUCAUUGGCAGAUAAAACCUUCCUUGAUAGCAGCAAUUCAUCUCCCCACCAGCACUAUAUAGUGCUUUCUUCCUCUGAUAAAUUAUCUACCCUUGGGGACAGAUCUGUAUCAGGUCUUAUUUCAUGUCCCCUCAAGUUUAUUGAGCUAUCCUAAUUAUGUUGUUGAUUUCAUGAUCACAAACUUGAGUGAGAUUGUUACUGGCUUCUUUCCUCUGUUGCAGAUGUUGUUUCAGUGUCAUAAUACAUGCUUCAUGUGACAUCAAUACAGAUUUGUGACCAUGGCCACCAUCCUUGUACGGGAAGUAUAGUCUGUCUACAUCUCCAUUGAUAAUGAUGUUUCCUGUAACACUGAGCAGCUUGCAGAUUUGAACUUGAGUUCUUGUAGUGACCAGUCCAGAAAGCCAAAUGUAGGUGUGAGGACAGGCUCUGCAAAGGUAUGUAUGUAGAAACAUCAGCUACCAAAAUUGAACUGCGCAUGAAUGCCAAGAAAACUGAAUACAUGGCUUUCAACCAAUCAAGUGAUGCUGAACAGUUUGCUUUGAGUGGUUUGAAAUAGAAUGAUAUUGAAAGCUUCAAGUACUUAAGUGAUGGGUGAACAGUUUGGAAACAGACAUCAAGGUUGGGAAGGCACAGACUAAAGAGAGUCUGGAACUCCAUAUUGCCCAGGCAAAUCAAAAUCAAGCUGUUCAUUGCAUCUGUCAAAUCAAUGCUAUUAUAUGGCAGUGAAACAUGGGUACUGAAAAUGAAAUUAUCAAAUGUGCUUUUACACAAGGAUGCUACAAAUGGCCCUAAAUGUGAAAUAGCUGCAACAGACAAAUGAAUACCUUUAUGGAAACUUGUUGAAAGUUAGUGAGAAGAUCAGACAAAGAUGGCUGUGACUAUCUGGUCAUUGUGUGCACCACCCUGAACUGAAAGCAUCCAAAUUAGUCAUAUGGAACCUACUUUGCGGUGUUAUAAGAAGAUGCACACAUCAUCGCACUUACAUUGACAACUUGAUAACAGACACUGGCCUGGAAUGUAUCCAGGACUGCAAGGCAAUGAUGUUGAACCAAGAAGUGUGGCAGGUGGACUUUGUUGCUGUGAACCAGGUUGGAACUCGGCUAUAAUAAUAAUAAUGGUUUCAAAUUUUGUCACAAGGCCAGUAAUUUUAGGGGAGGGGCUAAGUUGAUUACAUCGACCACAAAAGAAUGAAAAGUAAAGUCAACCUCAGCAGAAUUUGAACUCAGAACAUACAGAUGGAUAUAUGAGCAUUUUUCCCAGUGCACUAAUGGUUGUGCCAGCCCGCCACCCUAAAUAAUAAUAGUAAUUAUAAUGUGUGUGUGUGUGAGAAAGAAAGAGAAUUUGUAAUGUCAUAUAAACUUUAUAAUAUGCUGUGGUUUUCUGUCUAUAAUAUAAUACAUAUCCUCACCACCCAGGCACACUAUUUCACUUGUCUCUCUCCCAACUAUCACUUCCACAAUGUCCCACCUUAAACUCCUUAUUAACGGUUUUCCUAUAGAUGUUUUAUUUGAAUUAUUUGCACAAUCUCCACAAUUCUUGACGAAAUGCAAAGAUCAUAAAUAAUGCUCUUCUUACUUAGACUGAUGAUGCACAACAAAAGAGAGAAUUUCCUAAGAAGGAAAAAAUUAGUAAAAAUUGCAGAAUUAUAAUACAAAAAAAUUACUUUUGUCAAUAUUUCAUGCUUCCAUAAAAGAUAAGUUGUUUUCCACUUCUAUAUAGAUAAAAGUGAAAUUCUGUCUGUCUGUGACCCCUGUAUCUCAGUCUACAUUUGCCCUGCAUAGACAUAUUAUACUUUUUUGGAAUCAGGGUGAUCUCAGGAUUGAAAAUCUGACCUUCAUUUGGUUCUUGAACAUCCAGCAUUGGGAUCUGAUGAAAGAGCAUUUGGGUUGCUAUUUCUAGCAGGUAAGAUGACCAUGAGAGAUUUUAAAUGGUUUACAAGCACUAUAAUAAUAAACACAACAUUCUGUGUUAGAAAACUGACCAAAACUCUUUGAAUUUAAUACCAAAACUUUGUGACAGUUACCUCCAUUACCUACAAUAAUACAAUUAACAAGAGUCAAGGACAAUCACUCUAAAUCGUUGGACUUCACCUCUUGCAGCAGUACUUUUACAAUGGUCAGCUCUAUGUUGGUUGUUCAAGAGUUGGAAAUGGCAAAAAUCUCUUUGUGUUAACACCAAAUGGUAAAACCAAGAAUUUUGUUCAUCUUACUGCUUUACAGUGAUCUCCAAAUAUUACAAUGAUACAAAAUUCUCCAAAUAUGAUACUCUGUGAUAUAAAUUUGAGAUGAUAGCAAUAAAUGUUUCAUUAUAAUUGCUCUCUUAAGGCAGUGAGCUGGCAGAAAUGUUAGCACACCGGGUGUAAUGCUUAGCAGUAUUUCAUCUGUCUUUACGUUCUGAGUUCAAAUUCUGCUGAGGUCAACUUUGCCUUUCAUCCUAUCGGGGUCGAUAAAUUAAGUACCAGUUGCAUCCUGGGAUCAAUCUAAUCGACUGGCCCCCUCCCCCAAAAUUUCAGGCCUUGUGCCUAGAUUAGAGAUUAUUAUUGCUGUCUUCUGUUUGGGACUGAAAGCUCAAUUAGCCCUCAACAGGAACUAGUUUAAAAUUCUGCAUGGAGUGUGGCUUUUAAGCUAGUUAAUAAUAGAUGUAAAGCUUAAAAUCUGUCUCAACAACUAUUUAUUGGGAUUUUCCCUGGAUGUUUAAUUUUAGUCUUUAUAGUAUUUUAAAUGUUAAUUAUACUUUCACUGAUUUAACUGUUAACUAUAAUAAGUGAGUAUGUAUGUGUAUGUAUUUAUCUUUGUCUUGACAUUGCAUGAUGGUUGUUAAUGAGCAUUACUCAUAUAAGUCAGUGUCCCUCGUUUCCAGUCUUCUGUUGAAACAUAUCCAACCAUGGAAGAAAUAUUAACUUAUUUGGAAACAGGUGAAGGCUGAUGACAAGAAGGACAUCUUGCUGUAGAAAAUCUUUCUCAGGGAAUUUCACCUCACAUGUUCAUGCAUUAAAACAUGGAUGUUAAAAUGAUGAUGAUUACAGUGGGUGGUGUCUCAAACUGGCUUAAUUUUUGAAUCAAGAAAGCCAGCCCACUUAUGCAUACCUUUCCUUCUUGGGACAUAAAACUCUGCUUGCAAAGACCUGUUGAGGCAAGUGAAUUCGAAAUCGAUCAAAAAUCAAUGGAAAUUGUAGUUGUGAUACCAGUGCCGGUGGCAUGUAAAAGAACCAUCCAAACGUGGCUGUUGCCAGCACUGCCCCGACUGGCCUCCGUGCCGGUGGCACGUAAAAAGCACCAACCGAUCGUGGUCGUUGCAAGCUUCGCCUGGCACCUGUGCCGGUGGCACGUAAAAAGCACCCAUUACACUCAGGGAGUGGCUGGCAUUAGGAAGGGCAUCCAGCUGUAGAAACAGUGCCAGAUCAGACUGGGCCUGGUGCAGCCUCCUGGCUUCCCAGACCCCAGUCGAACCGUCCAACCCAUGCUAGCAUGGAAAGCGUACGUUAAACGAUGAUGAUUGAUGAUUUGUUCAUUGGCAAACAUUCUGCCGAAUAGUUCUACAUAAAAUGAAACGUAUCCAGAGGUGUUGCUCCACCAGCACCUCACCAUUUUGUCAAUGUAGAAACAAUAGUCAAAUAGUAUUCUUCUUGUAUACUAGACUAAUUUAUCUUAUUCUGCCUUUUUAAAGUUUCAAGCAUUAUAUAUUCACCUCUCUGAAAUUGAAUAUUAUCUUAGCUAUUCAAAAUAGAAUAUUUUCAAGGAUUUUUCAAAAUGAUUUAACAAAAGAAAAAUAAAUCAAUAAAAGUUGGCUUAAAAUGUAUGAAUGUUCAUUGGAGUUACUUCCCUUAACAAUCCACAACUUCGCAAUUCUGUUUUUUUUUUUAUAAGACUAGAAAAAAAAAAUCCAUAGCAUUUUUAUCUGCUCUUUGAGAUAUUUUUUAUUAGUUAUCAAGGUUGCAUGUAGAUGAGAAGGAAAAAAGUUUUCAGUUAAAAAUAUACAUUUAAAAAGUUUAGUUUAGUUUUG